This 1378-nucleotide long non-coding RNA is filed under the name Helianthus annuus (common sunflower). Its description in RNAcentral is "hypothetical non coding rna". The record is from RNAcentral. Lineage: Eukaryota; Viridiplantae; Streptophyta; Magnoliopsida; Asterales; Asteraceae.
GUUAGGUUUUAUUCUGCCGUCAGACAUUUAGCUUGAUGGCCGCAGUAUCGUCCGUGUUUGAUGAAAUCGAGCCCACUGAUAUCGCAAAAUCAUGUGGUGUUGAAUAAACAUCGUUGACUGCUUAUAGGAUUUCGGAGGACGAUCUCAUCUCGGGUAACUUCGUCUUAAAUCUGUUGCAAAUUUAGCACGUUUUCUAUAAAAAAAUUUUAGCGGAUUUUGUGGAUCGAUCUACGUUUUCUUUGAUUUGAGUUUUUUUUUUUUUUUCAUGUGAAUUGCGUAUCUUAGACCUAGCGAUAAUUUUUUUAAACACAGUUAAGUUUGUAUAUAGUAGAAUCUAAAAUUAUAAGUCAUUGUUAGGGAUUGAUUGAGUCAACAAGAUGUCAAAAUAUUUAUACAGAAUCUGGUUUGGUAUCUUUGUAUAAUAUUUUGGUAAAAUCAAUCAUGAUUUAUAAUUGCCCUCUAUUUUUCAUAUCCGUCUUAUGGAGUUGUUCAUCAAUUCAAAAAACUUUGGUGGCUUCUUAAGAGAUCUAUGAUGGAUUGUUUGAAAAUUUACACUCUUUUGUGAAAAGAUAUAUGGCAGGUAACGAGACCGAGUCAAGCCAUUUUAUGUGAACGAUGAGAGCUUUGGUGCUGAGACCACAAACUCAUAGGAAGUUGCAAUGUGAAUGUAACACGUUGAAAUUUACAAGGUGGUCAGAGUCAGAAAAUCACAAGUCAAACAUGGGACUUAUCUUAAGCCCAAAUCGAUGCUCAAAAAGAAGUGUUCAAGAUAUCAAGAUCUAAACAAAGAUAUAUCAGAUCCACCACGUUUUAUUAGCGUAUCAUUCAAAAUUCAAUCCUUUGCUUUGGCGUCCAAUGCGACAUUGCAUAGAUUAUGAUCAUGCAUAGAUAGAAAUUGGUGCACAUAAUUGGGAAAUUUAGAGCCACUUGUCUGUCAAGGAGAUGGACUGAUCUCAAAGUUCAAAUGGUGGUGGAGAUUUCCAUGUUUUCCUCCAGCUCAUAGAUAGAAGACUACUUUGAGCAACAGAUCUAGUAUUUUUAUGAAUGAACAAAUGUAGCUAAUGUAGCAGUACUUUCCAAAUCCGGCCCCAGGGUCACCUUGGAUUGACUUUUCUUUAUUAGAUUCUUAAGAGUUUUAUGCCUUUACUAGAAUCAUACAUUUUUUAGAUAAAAAUUGUUCCAUUGUCUGUUUCUUCUUAUGUAUCUCGAGGGAGAUUUUUUACAUGUAGAUGAUUUUGUUCUUUAAAAUGACAUAAUGUACAUUUCAAUGUAAAUUAGACGAGAUUUAUAGCAUGCAAUCUGGUCUAACUUUUCAAAUCUGUAACGUGACCACCUAUAAGGAUAGGUUGUGUAAUUUGAUAAAAGAAAAUGUGUCCUU